CCAAUACAUUAGCAUGGAAUAAUAGAAUAGGACGGCAUGGUUCUAUUUUGUUGGUUUCUAGGAUCACCGUAAUGAUUAAUAGGGAUAGUUGGGGGCAUUAGUAUUCAAUUGUCAGAGGUGAAAUUCUUGGAUUUAUUGAAGACUAACUACUGCGAAAGCAUUUGCCAAGGAUGUUUUCAUUAAUCAAGAACGAAAGUUAGGGGAUCGAAGACGAUCAGAUACCGUCGUAGUCUUAACCAUAAACUAUGCCGACUAGGAAUCAGACGAUGUUAAUUUUUUAAUGACUCGUUUGGCACCUUACG
RNAcentral lists this ribosomal RNA (302 nucleotides) under uncultured Glomeromycotina. RNAcentral describes it as "partial small subunit ribosomal RNA". It matches the Rfam family "Eukaryotic small subunit ribosomal RNA", at positions 796 to 1092 of the family's 1831-position model. The record is from RNAcentral. Lineage: Eukaryota; Fungi; Glomeromycota.